Heterocephalus glaber (naked mole-rat) is the source of this 298-nucleotide long non-coding RNA. NCBI's taxonomy places the organism in Eukaryota, Metazoa, Chordata, Mammalia, Rodentia, Bathyergidae. The record is from Ensembl.
CUUAUUAUCCUUAAUUGGGGUUUAUUCAUCUGAAAUAGUAUCUCAUUUCUUUUGCAGGAAAAUGUUCCUUAUCCUUACAAAUUACUUUUAGUAAUUAUUCAAAAAGCCAUCCUGAUUAGAAAUGGCUUCCAGGAAUAUUUCCAUCACAUGUUCUGCCGGUUCACCUGACAACAUUGACAAGUGCAGGAUCAGCAACUCUCAUAUCCAGCACCAGAGGUAUGAGGAUGUGAGAAGAAAAAAAGGACGGAAAUGUGUAGAACCAGAAGCUAGUCUGUGUAAGUCUCCAAACAUCAGAUGG